Long non-coding RNA from Daphnia pulicaria, 1030 nucleotides. RefSeq lists it as uncharacterized. The record is from RefSeq and is a predicted model, not a curated record. The transcript is spliced from 5 exons. NCBI's taxonomy places the organism in Eukaryota, Metazoa, Arthropoda, Branchiopoda, Diplostraca, Daphniidae.
GGUGGAGUUCUACGGUCACCAUAACGGCGGAUUGUCCUCCCAUCCGCCAGGUGGCGCGAGUGUCUUCGUGAGUAAGAAAUAUUUGCCAUUUGUUUCCGAGACGCUGACUGAAAGUGUCUUCCAAGUUGAUUGGUGUCGAGCUACAUUUUUAGCUAUUAGAUGUAAUUGGCAAUCUGGCAUAUAAUUUCACUUGGCCAAAUGUGAUGACGUGGGUCGAAACUGCUGUCCAUUUUGUCGAAAUGUCAGCCAUUGUUAGCUGUACGUCUCAUCUCGUGCAACUUCAAAGCUAGUAAAUUGAUUUUCAGGUCGGAAAUGCUUUCCUUUGCUCAACUGUUGCAGAAAUUUAGAACACGACAAAGUCUGAGCUUCAUGGUUGUAGCUUGUAGUAUCAUUAAUGUGGUUUUGUUGCAGCCAGCUGGUGAUAGGUGUGAUUGAGUCAUGGUUGAGUUGCAGCUUCUGCAUGCAGUUUAUCGAGCUGGUGCUAUCCUAAGUGUAACUGCAGGAAAACUUCUUGAAUUGCCAGGUGAAGUCUGCGCUUCUUUGUUGCAGUCUAAUUUGUGCUUGGAUUCGUUGCAGUCAUCCAGUGAAAGGUGUGAUUAAAUUGAGCUGUUGCAUGCAGUCUUUGGUGCUGAUGUUGUCCUGGAGUGUGGGAGAUACCCAUGCUUCAAGUCUUCUGGGAGCAGCCAUAUCUGAGUUGACGCUGGAUCAUGCUGCAUUGUGGUUGCUGAAAUGUUGGACAUUAGUAGAACUGCAAGAUGACUCCUUGAAAUGGUUUAUGUUUACGUAGCAGUGAUGUUGCUGUCAAAUAUGGCAUGUUGUUGCAGCCUAUACUGGUGAAAGAUUUUUUGGAUCGAGUUAUGCUGUUGCUGUUCCUUGGUGCCGGACUGCUAGUGUUAUGCACAAAAGUUACAUCCAGUUUUAAUUGUUAUUUGUGUCUGCAGUUAACCGUUUAUAUGUUGAAAAAGGAACAGAAAAGUUCCUUGGUGUUGAAUCGCUGGUGUUGUGCUUCAUAAGUUACAUCCAGUAUUUU